This 564-nucleotide ribosomal RNA is filed under the name Arthrospira sp. CCC 538. RNAcentral describes it as "bacterial SSU rRNA". It matches the Rfam family "Bacterial small subunit ribosomal RNA", at positions 147 to 741 of the family's 1533-position model. The record is from RNAcentral. Lineage: Bacteria; Bacillati; Cyanobacteriota; Cyanophyceae; Oscillatoriales; Microcoleaceae.
CCCCUGGAAACGGGGGCUAAUACCGGAUAGGUCGAAAGAUGAAAGGUUAACUGCCUGAAGAGGGGCUCGCGUCUGAUUAGCUAGUAGGUGUGGUAAGAGCGCACCUAGGCAACGAUCAGUAGCUGGUCUGAGAGGAUGAGCAGCCACACUGGGACUGAGACACGGCCCACACUCCUACGGGAGGCAGCAGUGGGGAAUUUUCCGCAGUGGGCGAAAGCCUGACGGAGCAAGACCGCGGGGGGGAGGAAGGCCUUUGGGUUGUAAACCCCUUUUGUUAGGGAAAAAAAAAAUGACGGUACCUAACGAAUCACCCUCGGCUAACUCCGUGCCAGCAGCCGCGGUAAUACGGAGGAGGCAAGCGUUAUCCGGAAUUAUUGGGCGUAAAGCGUCCGUAGGUGGCCCGGCAAGUCUGCUGUCAAAGACCACAGCUCAACUGUGGAAAGGGCAGUGAAAACUGCAAGGCUAGAGUGCGGUAGGGGUAGAGGGAAUUCCCAGUGUAGCGGUGAAAUGCGUAAAGAUUGGAAAAACACCCCGGUGGCGAAUGCGCUCUACUGGGCCGCAACU